This 506-nucleotide ribosomal RNA is filed under the name uncultured bacterium. RNAcentral describes it as "bacterial SSU rRNA". It matches the Rfam family "Bacterial small subunit ribosomal RNA", at positions 30 to 528 of the family's 1533-position model. The record is from RNAcentral.
AUUGAACGCUGGCGGCAUGCCUUACACAUGCAAGUCGAACGGUAACAGGUCUUUGGAUGCUGACGAGUGGCGAACGGGUGAGUAAUACAUCGGAACGUGCCCGAUCGUGGGGGAUAACGGAGCGAAAGCUUUGCUAAUACCGCAUACGAUCUACGGAUGAAAGCAGGGGACCGCAAGGCCUUGCGCGGACGGAGCGGCCGAUGGGCAGAUUAGGUAGUUGGUGGGAUAAAAGCUUACCAAGCCGACGAUCUGUAGCUGGUCUGAGAGGACGACCAGCCACACUGGGACUGAGACACGGCCCAGACUCCUACGGGAGGCAGCAGUGGGGAAUUUUGGACAAUGGGCGUAAGCCUGAGUCCAGCCAUGCCGCGUGCAGGAUGAAGGCCUUCGGGUUGUAAACUGCUUUUGUUACGGACGAAAGACGUACUUUCUAAUAAAGAGGGUCCAUGACGGUACCGUAAGAAUAAGCACCGGCUAACUACGUGCCAGCAGCCGCGGUAAACCUU